CCAGGUGUCCGAGAGCACGGCCAGCUCCUCUCAGCAUGGAGUGAUCGCUCAAUGAGGGCCCUGCAAAUCCAUUCCCAGUGACCCUUCCCCUCAGCUGCCAGUAAUGAAGGCCGCUUGCUCGUUACUCCCGGGUGAGGCUCAGGAGGAGACCCGGGCCUGGGACCCAAGCUCUUGCCUGGGGUCUAGUGGAUCAUCCAUUAAUUAAGGUUAGCGUUUCUGGCCCCCAGAAGCUCAAAGAUAAUCAGUGGUGGACCACAGACGAUGAUCGAUGCUUCCGUGUUGCCUGGAGCCUCUGCACCUGAUGCCAUUUGAAACUCCUGCAGGAAAUGCUGGGCAUCCUAUUUCAGGGGGUCCUUGGAGCCAAUGGCAAAUUCCUCUUGCUCGCUCAAAAGGCACACUUCCUGUUGUUUUGAGUGGUCUGUCCAAAGCCCAGAUUUGAAAAUGUUUAAAAGGAGAAUAAAAAACAUUUAGAAAUUCACAAGUAAAAUACUGUAGUGCUGAUAGAACUUAGUGUUGAUAGCAUAAUGUGGAAAUAGCAUGAUUCUCUGUUUACUGUGCGCGUUUGGUGACAAGCAGGCCUGAUGGGGGAUAUUGAUAGCACCUUCCUUCCCUUUCUGAAGCAGUCAGUUCCGAACAGCUGUUCAGGCCUGGUUCUGACUAAGCGAGUUGUUCCUUUUAGAUCCUGUUUUCAAGGCGAUCUCUGAUGGUAGAUGGAGCACACGUUUUUCUCCACUGGUCCAUGUGUCUGUACAGUCAUCAAUUGGCCUUUCGGAGAGUCCAGGUUGGAGGUCUUCAUAAGUUUGCCUCAUCAGCCUUUUUGAACCAGAUGCAAAGGACACACCCCAACUGGCUUGUAAGUGCAGUACAUCUAAUCACAUAAUGCUUCUAUAAUGUGGCUUUUUAAAUUAAGUGACCCACAGGAUAUUAAUCUGGUGGUAACAACUCCCAAGGGAUGCAGCACUGGCAAACACUUCAAGAGCAGCUAGUACUACUAUUAAAUGUGAUGUUCAUUUCAUCUGAACAUAUGGAAAUAAAAACAAGUCAUGGGAGAACUUCAGUGCUCUGUACAUGCUAUAUUGUUCAUAAACCUGUCAUAAAUAAGUGCCUCUUAAAAAGAAACCAAUUAAUAAAUGUGCAAUGAAUUACAAAGUUUAAAUAUUCCAUAAUAUGGGAUCUCUCCCCACCCCCUCCACCCACAUUCCCACCCCAGUCAGGGCCCCGUUGUUAUUCAAGCUCUUAUAACAUUUUCCACUGUGUGGCACAUCUCCGUUUUGUUGUUGUUGAUUGAGUUAUUUGCUUAGUUCGGCUGCUUAAAAAAAUGGAGAAAAAAUCUGUAAGCUAUAAAAUGCAUCUUCUUUUGUCCUUUGUCUGUACAUUAGAGUCUGGCUUGGCAUUGGGGCCCCACCCCAAACCUCCCACCAAGAGUAUGUCAUAUUUCUAUAUGCUUGUGCAUGUUCAGUUCUACCUCUUUUGAAAUGAUGCCCAAAACCAAGCAGUGUUUACAUAAGUAAAAGGGAGUUUCACUUUUAUGCUGUAAUUUCUACACGGAGCAAAGAGUUUUCCUAGCCAUACUUUGUACUUUGUUCAUGGGUGAACUUCUAUUUUUCUAAUGUGAUGGUUUUAUCCAGCUUUGACAACAGAUUUCUUUAGGAGAUUACACACCUGGAAUUAACUUCUUCUGCCAAGAAUUACAGUGCACCUGGAAGUACUAAAUCAUUUUUAUCUAUGUUUUAGAAGCUUUUUAUAAUAAAAUUGCAUAUCUUGAA
Molecule: long non-coding RNA, 1766 nt
Organism: Bubalus bubalis (water buffalo)
Lineage: Eukaryota; Metazoa; Chordata; Mammalia; Artiodactyla; Bovidae
Exons: 2
Source: RefSeq, a predicted model, not a curated record